RNAcentral lists this long non-coding RNA (294 nucleotides) under Elaeis guineensis (African oil palm). RNAcentral describes it as "long non-coding RNA (EGUI_LNC053455)". Lineage: Eukaryota; Viridiplantae; Streptophyta; Magnoliopsida; Arecales; Arecaceae. The record is from RNAcentral.
GCUUUGAUAUUUUUCCAAAUUAAGAAUAAAUCUUUAGUUCUUCUUAAGUACUUAAGAAUAUUUUCACAACAAUCCAGCACUCUCAGCCUGGAUACAACUGAUAUUUACUCAUGAUAUUUACAGUACUAUAUCAGUUCAAGUACAUUACAUAGCAUACAUUUAUGCCCAAGAGGGUAGCAGAUCCUUCUUCGAGAUUUCUAUGCUAAACCCUUUCAGUAUAUACUCUCUGUAUUUUAUCUAUGAAAAUACAAGCAUCCAAUUGCAUCUAUCUCUAUAGAUCUUCAGAAUGCUUGC